GAUGAACGCUGGCGGCGUGCCUAAUACAUGCAAGUCGAGCGAACGGACGAGAAGCUUGCUUCUCUGAUGUUAGCGGCGGACGGGUGAGUAACACGUGGAUAACCUACCUAUAAGACUGGGAUAACUUCGGGAAACCGGAGCUAAUACCGGAUAAUAUUUUGAACCGCAUGGUUCAAAAGUGAAAGACGGUCUUGCUGUCACUUAUAGAUGGAUCCGCGCUGCAUUAGCUAGUUGGUAAGGUAACGGCUUACCAAGGCAACGAUGCAUAGCCGUCCUGAGAGGGUGAUCGGCCACACUGGAACUGAGACACGGUCCAGACUCCUACGGGAGGCAGCAGUAGGGAAUCUUCCGCAAUGGGCGAAAGCCUGACGGAGCAACGCCGCGUGAGUGAUGAAGGUCUUCGGAUCGUAAAACUCUGUUAUUAGGGAAGAACAUAUGUGUAAGUAACUGUGCACAUCUUGACGGUACCUAAUCAGAAAGCCACGGCUAACUACGUGCCAGCAGCCGCGGUAAUACGUAGGUGGCAAGCGUUAUCCGGAAUUAUUGGGCGUAAAGCGCGCGUAGGCGGUUUUUUAAGUCUGAUGUGAAAGCCCACGGCUCAACCGUGGAGGGUCAUUGGAAACUGGAAAACUUGAGUGCAGAAGAGGAAAGUGGAAUUCCAUGUGUAGCGGUGAAAUGCGCAGAGAUAUGGAGGAACACCAGUGGCGAAGGCGACUUUCUGGUCUGUAACUGACGCUGAUGUGCGAAAGCGUGGGGAUCAAACAGGAUUAGAUACCCUGGUAGUCCACGCCGUAAACGAUGAGUGCUAAGUGUUAGGGGGUUUCCGCCCCUUAGUGCUGCAGCUAACGCAUUAAGCACUCCGCCUGGGGAGUACGACCGCAAGGUUGAAACUCAAAGGAAUUGACGGGGACCCGCACAAGCGGUGGAGCAUGUGGUUUAAUUCGAAGCAACGCGAAGAACCUUACCAAAUCUUGACAUCCUUUGACAACUCUAGAGAUAGAGCUUUCCCCUUCGGGGGACAAAGUGACAGGUGGUGCAUGGUUGUCGUCAGCUCGUGUCGUGAGAUGUUGGGUUAAGUCCCGCAACGAGCGCAACCCUUAAGCUUAGUUGCCAUCAUUAAGUUGGGCACUCUAAGUUGACUGCCGGUGACAAACCGGAGGAAGGUGGGGAUGACGUCAAAUCAUCAUGCCCCUUAUGAUUUGGGCUACACACGUGCUACAAUGGACAAUACAAAGGGCAGCGAAACCGUGAGGUCAAGCAAAUCCCAUAAAGUUGUUCUCAGUUCGGAUUGUAGUCUGCAACUCGACUACAUGAAGCUGGAAUCGCUAGUAAUCGUAGAUCAGCAUGCUACGGUGAAUACGUUCCCGGGUCU
Molecule: ribosomal RNA, 1372 nt
Filed under: uncultured bacterium
Lineage: Bacteria
Description: bacterial SSU rRNA
Rfam family: Bacterial small subunit ribosomal RNA
Source: RNAcentral